RNAcentral lists this long non-coding RNA (1474 nucleotides) under Anas platyrhynchos platyrhynchos (common mallard). RNAcentral's name for it is "lncRNA (ENSAPLG00000028559.1)". The record is from RNAcentral. Lineage: Eukaryota; Metazoa; Chordata; Aves; Anseriformes; Anatidae.
UUAAUAGUGGGGUGGGUAUAGUAGCAGUUAAAGGUACUGAAAGACAAUAAAUAGUGUCAUUAAUUAGAGUGGCCACAGAGGCUAUGUAUAUAAGCGUAGAUAAAAGGCUUGACACAGACAGGCAGUCUGUGUCUAUACACUUAAAUGAUUUUCUGACCUCAGAGUGGGAAAAUCUCUAGUGUGACUGUGAAUUUAGUUUUAGGGGUGUGGAUCUUAAGAGGAAAUCCUUUGUUCACAAUUCUCAGUUAAGUUCUGACCUUCCUUGCAUUGCAGGACCUGCUCUAGGCAGGAGCUGGGCAAGGAGGCAGGGAAAUUGGAAAUUUGUUGGAAAUGUACUAGAAAGAAAUAAAUGUGCUUUGCUCCUGCUUAGUUUCUGCUUAGUUUUUGUUGUUGCUGGCGUUUUUUUUUUUUUGUUUUGUUUUUGUUUUGGUUUUGGUUUUGGUUGUAAAAAUAUGAUUGCCAUUUUCCAAGCAGCUACGGUUAAUUCACACUGUUACCUGAUAAAAGCCUCUACUGUUAGCAAAGACCUGAGAGAUAUGUAGCAAAUAAGAGCUUCACAAAACGCAUAAUAUCAAUGUAUUACAUUUCUUGAGAGGACUGAAAAAUUAAAAUGCUAACAGAAGACAGCUUGCAAAGAUAGCUGGGAGCAGCAGACAGUUAAGUAAUAUGUUUUGUGUGGGUGGGGAGGUUAAGUUGUGGUUUUGUUUUCUUUUGUGAGAGAGAAAAUAUUGAUUCAGCUAGAGAAAAUGGAAAUGACUGAGAAAGCUACCUCAGAUGAGUGAAAAAAUCAAACAAAGACAUUCCCACAUGUGUCUUUCCUUAUCAUUUCUGCAAAAAUUAAAACUCAUAUUUUCAGCUCUUGUUACUGUGCUUCCUACAAUCAUAAAAGACUAACAAUGAAUAUUCAUUUCUUCUGGCACCAUAUGUCUUUAUUUUCAUGUCCCUGCCUAUUUGGAAAAGUACUUUGAAAACAAAGAUGUCUGUUAAAAUCCAUCUCUAGAUGGAGAUCUAUGGAAGUGUAAAUUAUACCUGCUAUCAGUGUCCUCCUUGAGGACUUUAUAAAGAGACUCUAUCUAUCCUGUGGGUUUUCAAGCUGACCUGGUAAUACUAUUGCAAUGUAUUUUUAAUGCUACAGAUCCCAAGAAGCUGGAAAAGAAACUCAUAAGUACAGGAAUCCCAGUAAGAAAAUGGGUGGUAUUAAUCCUCAGUCUGACAACGUCUUGGAUACUUACCUUGCAUUAUUUCAAUUCCUCCUUGUAAAUUGAGGAUAGUGUUGUUAUUUAGCCCAAGUCAGAAGUUGGUGCCAGGUGUCAGUGUCAUUUUCUGCUUACAAAGCUGGGUUCAAAAUGAAAAGGCGAUACGAUUGGUCUUAUAGAAGAGACCAUCAUCAUAAAACCUCCCCCUAAGAGACUUCCUGAUGCUCCUCUCUUACAGACUAGCUCUGCUAAUUUUGCCAGCCUGAUUCUGCCUUUCU